CAGGAUGAACGCUGGCGGCGUGCCUAACACAUGCAAGUCGAACGGAGAACCCGCCCUCGGGCGGUUAUGAAGUGGCGAACGGGUGAGUAACACGUGACCAACCUGCCCCGCGCUCAGGGACAGCCUCGGGAAACCGGGAUUAAUACCUGAUGCGCCCCCGCCCCCGCAUGGGGAGGGGGGAAAGCCCAGGCGGCGCGGGAUGGGGUCGCGGCCCAUCAGGUAGACGGCCGGUAGAGGCCGGCCGUGCCGACGACGGGUAGCCGGGUUGAGAGACCGACCGGCCACAUUGGGACUGAGAUACGGCCCAGACUCCUACGGGAGGCAGCAGUGGGGAAUAUUGCGCAAUGGGGGGAAAAACCCCCUGACGCAGCAACGCCGCGUGCGGGACGACGGCCCUCGGGUUGUAAACCGCUUUCAGCAGGGAAGACAUCGACGGUACCUGCAGAAGAAGCCCCGGCUAACUACGUGCCAGCCGCGGC
Molecule: ribosomal RNA, 479 nt
Filed under: uncultured bacterium
Lineage: Bacteria
Description: bacterial SSU rRNA
Rfam family: Bacterial small subunit ribosomal RNA
Source: RNAcentral